Molecule: ribosomal RNA, 252 nt
Filed under: uncultured bacterium
Lineage: Bacteria
Description: partial 16S ribosomal RNA
Rfam family: Bacterial small subunit ribosomal RNA
Source: RNAcentral
UACAGAGGUCUCAAGCGUUGUUCGGAUUCAUUGGGCGUAAAGGGUGCGUAGGUGGCAGGGUAAGUCGGAUGUGAAAUCCCGGGGCUCAACCUCGGAACUGCAUUCGAUACUGCUUGCUUGAGUACUGGAGAGGAGAUUGGAAUUUACGGUGUAGCAGUGAAAUGCGUAGAUAUCGUAAGGAAGACCAGUGGCGAAGGCGGAUCUCUGGACAGUUACUGACACUGAGGCACGAAGGCCAGGGGAGCAAACGGG